AUUGAACGCUGGCGGAUGCUUUACAUGCAAGUCGAACGGCAGCACGGACUUCGGUCUGGUGGCGAGUGGCGACGGUGGGUAAUGUAUCGGAACGUACCUAGUAGCAGGGGAUAACUACGCGAAAGCGUAGCUAAUACCACGCAUACGCCCUUCGAAGCGGGGACCUUCGGGCCUCGCACUAACAUUAGAGCGGCCGAUGUCGGAUUAAGCUAGUUGGUGGGGUAACGGCUCACCAGAGCGGCGAUCCGUAGCUGGUUUGAGAGGACGACCAGCCACACUGGGACUGAGACACGGCCCAGACUCCUGCAGGAGGCAGCAGUGAAAUUUUGGACAAUGGGGGAAACCCUGAUCCAGCCAUCCCCGCGUGUGCGAUGAAGGCCUUCGGGUUAUGCAGCACUUUUGGCAGAAAAAGCAGCCUGGGAUAAUACCCCGUGCAACUGACAGUACCUGCAGAAUAAGCACCGGCUAACUACGUGCCAGCAGCCGCGGUAAUACGUAGGGUGCAAGCGUUAAUCAGAAUACUGGGCGUAAAAGCGUGCGCAGGCGGUUCGGAAAGAAAGAUGUGAAAUCCCAGAGCUUAACUUUGGACUUUGCAUUUAACUACCGAGCUAGAGUGUGUCAGGAGGUGGAAUUCCGCGUGUAGCAGUGAAAUGCGUAGAUAUGCGGAGGAACACCGAUAGCGAAGGAAGGCAACCUCCUGGGAUAACACUGACGCUCAUGCACGAAAGCGUGGGGAGCAAACAGGAUUAGAUACCCUGGUAGUCCACGCCUAAACGAUGUCAACUAGCUGUUGGGGCCUUCAGCGGGCCUUGGUGGCCGCACCCCGGCUAACGUGAGGAUUGACCGCCUGAAAGAUACGGUCAUAAGAUUAAAACUCCAAAGGAAUUGGCGGGGACCCGCACAAGCGGUGGAUCAGUAUGGAUUAAUUCGAUGCAACGCGAAAACCUUACCUACGCCGACGUGUCUGGAAUCCCGAAGAGAUUUGGGAGUGCUCGCAAGAGAGGCCGGAACACAGGUGCUGCAUGGCUGUCGUCAGCUCGUGUCGUGAGAUGUUGGGUUAAGUCCCGCAACGAGCGCAACCCUUGUCAUUAGUUGCUACGAAAAGGGCACUCUAAUGAGACUGCCGGUGACAAACCGGAGGAAGGUGGGGAUGACGUCAGAGUCUCAUGGCCCUUAUGGGUAGGGCUUCACACGUCAUACAAUGGUCGGGACAGAGGGUCGCCAACCCGCGAGGAGCCAAUCCCAGAAAACCCGAUCGUAGUCCGGAUCGCAGUCUGCAACUCGACUGCGUGAAGUCGGAAUCGCUAGUAAUCGCGGAUCAGCAUGUCGCGGUGAAUACGUUCCCGGGUCUUGUACACACCGCCCGUCACACCAUGGGAGUGGGUUUUACCAGAAGUAGUUAAGCCUAACCGUAAGGAGGGCGAUUACAGUAGGAUUCUGGGGUGAAGUCGUAACAAGGUAG
RNAcentral lists this ribosomal RNA (1462 nucleotides) under uncultured Bordetella sp. RNAcentral describes it as "partial 16S-23S ribosomal RNA intergenic spacer". It matches the Rfam family "Bacterial small subunit ribosomal RNA". The record is from RNAcentral. Lineage: Bacteria; Pseudomonadati; Pseudomonadota; Betaproteobacteria; Burkholderiales; Alcaligenaceae.